AGCCUUUUUCAAAAUGCCGGCGGUGGCAGGGAAGGUUGUCUGGUCCAGAGGCUUCCCUAGGGUGAAGAGCUCUACUAUGUAUGCUUUAUGCGGCAGAGGGAGUGCUUUGGAGGAGUUUUUAAAUUUCUGUUUUUUUAAAAAAUCUUAUCCCAUCGGUUUUAAUUGUAGCAAUGAUUCAAGAAACGUUGGUAGGUGCCCAUAACUUUGGUGGUGGAGAUCCAAAAGUGAACAAGACAGUGUUCUGGCUGCUAAGUUCUUCUUAACUGGUUAUGCCUGGAGACCUUCACUUGGUUCUAUGCCAGCACUGCCCAUGAACUUCAUAGACUGAUCUUUGCUAAGGCCUAAAUGAAUGAAGGUGCGGGACUGGAAGCAGAAGACAGAAAGUGGAGACCAAAUGUUUGAAGCUGGGUAAAGGCAGGGAUGGAGCAGGAACCGAGGAACAAACCUUGGAACUAGGUAAGUUUCCUGAGGCCUCCCCAGAAGUAGAAGCCUGUACAGUCCACAGAACCGUAAGUCAAUUAAACCUUUUUUCUUUAUAAAUUACCCAGUCUUAGGUAGUUCUUUAUAACAGUA
RNAcentral lists this long non-coding RNA (573 nucleotides) under Pongo abelii (Sumatran orangutan). RNAcentral's name for it is "lincRNA". Lineage: Eukaryota; Metazoa; Chordata; Mammalia; Primates; Hominidae. The record is from RNAcentral.